Molecule: ribosomal RNA, 519 nt
Filed under: uncultured eukaryote
Lineage: Eukaryota
Description: bacterial SSU rRNA
Rfam family: Eukaryotic small subunit ribosomal RNA
Source: RNAcentral
GGGGCACCACCAGGAGUGGAGCCUGCGGCUUAAUUUGACUCAACACGGGAAAACUUACCCGGCCCGGACACUGGAAGGAUUGACAGAUUGAGAGCUCUUUCUUGAUUCAGUGGGUGGUGGUGCAUGGCCGUUCUUAGUUGGUGGAGCGAUUUGUCUGGUUAAUUCCGAUAACGAACGAGACUCUAGCCUACUAAAUAGAGAGCGAAUCAUUCGUUUGCUGUACUUCUUAAAGAGACUAGGGGCGGCUAGCCCCACGAGAUUGAACAAUAACCGGGCUGGGAAGGCCUUAAAAGGCCGGGGCCUGCCGCGCGCUACCCUGAAAGAAUCCAAAGGGGUUCAUCCUGUGCUGAGAAAAUCGGGUAACCUAAUGAAACUCCUUCUCGAUUGGGAUAGGGACUUGUGAUUAUUUCCCUUGAGAAAGAAAUUCCUAGAAAGAGCGGAACAUCUUCUCGUGUUGAGUACACCCCUGUGCUUUGUGCACACCGCCCGCCGCUACUCUACAGAGAGGAUGUAUCCGUA